Paramuricea clavata is the source of this 72-nucleotide non-coding RNA. NCBI's taxonomy places the organism in Eukaryota, Metazoa, Cnidaria, Anthozoa, Malacalcyonacea, Plexauridae. The record is from the annotation of a GenBank genome assembly.
GACCGCGUAGCUCAGUUGGAAGAGCAUUGGGCUAGUAUCCAAAGGUCGUAGAUUCGAAUCCCACCGUGGCCG